This 2560-nucleotide ribosomal RNA is filed under the name Epichloe typhina E8. RNAcentral's name for it is "bacterial LSU rRNA". The stretch from base 936 to 1967 matches the Rfam family "Bacterial large subunit ribosomal RNA", at positions 568 to 2044 of the family's 2925-position model. The record is from RNAcentral. Lineage: Eukaryota; Fungi; Ascomycota; Sordariomycetes; Hypocreales; Clavicipitaceae.
UUGUAAAAUUAAUAUUUUUAACAGAAUCUUGCUAGCGCAUGAUUAAAAAGUACAAUAAUUUGCGAUAUUUUUUAUGCUUAAUUAAAAAAAACACUAUGAAAAAUAUAAUUACAAAUAACCCAUCUUCAAUAAUACCUGUAAAGAGCUAUAGUAAUGCAUUUAUAAAUAAGAAUGCAAUAUUGCUAGAGAAUAAAAAUAAAUCAGGAAUUUAUCUGACCCCGGAGGGGUACGAAUAAAUAAACUAAAUGGAAAUAGCUAUGUAGGUAGUGGGUUAAAUUUAGCAAAAAGAGUAGGUGAUUAUUAUAAGGAAAGUGAAUUAAAAAGAAAUCCUAGACCUAUUCAUGCUGCUUUAUUAAAACAUGGACAUACAAAUUUUACAUUAGAAAUAUUGGAGUAUUGUAAAGCAGAUGAGCUUAUUAAAAGAGAACAGCAUUAUUUGGAUCGCUUGCGCAGCCAAACCUGAAUAUAAUAUAUUAAAAAAUGCUUAUUCUUUAUUAGGUUUUAAACAUAGCGAUGAAAAUAUAGCUAGAUUUAAAUUAAAAUCAAUAUCUGAAGAGCAUAAAAAAAUAUUAUCCUCAGUGCAUUUAGGUAAAGAAGUUAGCCAAGAGGUUAGAGAUAAAUUAUCUUUAGCUACAACUAAUUAUAGAAAGAAUAAUCCUUUAUCAUCUGAAGCUUUAGCGAAUAUUACAGCUAAGACUACAGAACGUGAAGGAAAAUCUGUUAGACUUUUCAAUAUCCAAACUAAUGAAACAUUAGAUUUCCCUACUUUAACAAAAGCUGCGGAACAUUUAGGUAUAAAAAGACAAGCUGUAAGAAAUGCAAUUAAUAGAGGAAGUAUUGUUAAAUUACUUUAUCAUAUUUCAGAAUCAGAAUAGUAUUAUAUUUAGUUAUAUAAAUUAUUUUAAAUUUAAUUAUUAAAUUCGGGUUUAUAAAUAAACCUGUUGUCAAAAUGGAUAGUUCAUAAAUAUUGUAUGAACUAUUUAGGGAGAAUAUUUUGUUUAUUUAAUAUAAGCAAAAUUCCCGUGUAUGUCGAAAGGGAAACAGCCCAGAACAAGAGUUAAGGUUCCUAAAUUAUUAGUUGAGUGAAAUUAAGAAGGUUUUUAUUAAAGUCGACAAGGAGAUAGGCUUAGAAGCAGCCAUAAUUUUAUGACCUCGUAACAGAGCGCUUGUUAAGUUAUAAAAGCAUCGAAAAUUUAACGGAUCUAAACAAUAUACCGAAACCUUGUCCAUGAUAUAUUAUAAUGAUAAUAUUAUUAUAAUUUAAUGGGGUAGCAGAACGUUGAGCUAAAUUACGAGUUUUAUUUUUUUAAAUAGAAUGAUAAUGAUUUAACUCAAGUGAGAAUGGUGACAUGAGUAACUAAAAGAAAAUUUUCCGCCUUAAGCUUAUGGAUAUAUUUAAGUAACGGCCUCUAAGUUUAUAUUAUCUAAAGAUUUAAACGAUGAGAAAAUCUUUUUUACUAAGGACGACAUUUUAGUGUAAAAUGUACUGGAAAAAUAGUAAAUAUAUUUAUAGUAAGCGUAAGUUUAUUAUAAAUGAAGAAUAACCGUACCUAGAAUCUGAAACAAGUAAGCUAGUAGAGAAUACGAAGGCGUAAAUGGGCUAACAAUCAUAAAGGAACUCGGCAAAUUGACUACCGUAACUUCGGAAUAAGGAGGGCUCAUUAUUCUUGAUUAAUAUCAAGUAAAGAGGAAGAAGCAUGAAAUAAUGUUGUACGACUGUUUAAUUAAAACACAGCACUCUGCUGAAAGAUGAAAAAUCUAAGUAUAGAGUGUGAUAUCUGCCCGGUGCCGGCUGGUUAACAGAGAUAAUUUAAUAUACUACUAUUUGAUGUCGACGGAAACCCCGGUUAAAGGCGGCCUUAACGUGAGGGUCCUAAGGUAGCGAAAUGCCUUGGCCGUUAAAUGCGGUCUUGCAUGAAUGGUGUAACGAUACAACAGCUGUCUCUAUGAUUGACCCAGUGAAAUUGGAAUAGCAGUGCAGAUACUGCUUACCUCUAGUUAGACGAGAAGACCCUAUGCAGCUUUACUGUCACUAAUUAUAGAUUAUGAUAGACAAUUUUCAGAUUAUAAGGUAAUUGAUUUAUGACAAUGAGAAACCUUUAUUUUUCUUUCAUAUGAAUGAAUUGGUUUAGGAGUAUAAGUAGAUUAUAGUUUAUGUGACUUUACUGAGUCAACUUGUUAAAUUAUAGUCUGUAUGCUUAUACUAGUAGAUCAGCCUAAUUCAACUUACUAUAUUUAUUAUAGUAUGUACCCUUUGGUAAGGAACUAUCGCUAGGGGACAGUUUAUGUGGGGCACAGACCCUGUAAAGAGUAAACAGGAGUGUCUAAAAAUUUAUAAAUAUUUUGUUUGCAAUUUUGAAUAAGAAUUUAUUCUUAUUUUUAAUCAUAUACAAUUGAUUAUAUUUGCAUUUAUUGUAAAUAUAGUUAAGAUUAGGUAGGAUUUUCACUAUAUAGAAAUUAGAGAUAAUAAAAAUAUUAUGGAGAAGUUCUUCUAAUAUUUUUUAGCUAUUUAUUAAAUAGUUAUGUUUACAAUAUCUAAAAAGCUCAACGGCUUAAUCCU